UACUUAAACAUGCCCUUGCCUCCGCUGC
This 28-nucleotide small RNA is filed under the name Bombyx mori (domestic silkworm). RNAcentral's name for it is "ovarian small RNA-21582". Lineage: Eukaryota; Metazoa; Arthropoda; Insecta; Lepidoptera; Bombycidae. The record is from RNAcentral.